GCGUCGAGCAAUGCUAAAACUAUUCUAACUCUUUUAGAACUCAAUUCUAACCUUUCCAACAUUGUUGGAAUGUUAAUUGAACUUUGCCCAACUACUUCUCUCAACGCACUUUGGUCAAUUUGACCAAAACUAAUCUAACAUGAUGAGGAUUCCGUUAAUUUCUCAAAGAUCAUGAGAGACGCCAAAACUCGCGAAGCUUCCAAUCUCCGCUCGCCUCAAAUUGCCCAGGGACACCACUUGGCCCGUCUCACGCCAAUCUAAAUGAAGAUCGCCUACGCAGUGCUAUCGCUUUCUAAAACGCGACAACUUUAUAAAUCCUCGACCUUCUAGGUCGAACACGAAACACUUAAUACCGACUCAAAUCGGGCGAAAGUCACGCAAGGGCGUCUAUUCUCAUCACUCGACUUCAUGUUGUGUGCACCCAACAUGAACACCCUCUGUUGAGAAUAAACCUCACCUUGAGUCUACCUCUAACAUCCGUUUUAGAGGUUUAUGACACAACCCAAUCAAUUAACCUUUCGCCAAAAGAAACAAGUCCUCGUCUCUCACGAGCCUUAAUCUCCUAUGGUUUACUAUCCUAGGGUCUCCUAGGUCCAACUAAACCAUUUUCUAUUAUUCUUUUAUGUUCUCUUUAUGCUUCUUUUAUUCUCUGAUACCAUCUUAUCUGUCACGCCCCGCGACCGCCCGCCUAUUUGGCCGCGUCGCGGCGCCGCCGACAGAUCGCCGAACGGACAGGGUUUCCCCUGUACCGCGGACAGAGUCUCCCCUGUACGUUCAAGGCAUAGCAAUCA
Molecule: long non-coding RNA, 791 nt
Filed under: Ananas comosus (pineapple)
Lineage: Eukaryota; Viridiplantae; Streptophyta; Magnoliopsida; Poales; Bromeliaceae
Description: long non-coding RNA (ACOM_LNC035741)
Source: RNAcentral